Molecule: ribosomal RNA, 478 nt
Filed under: uncultured bacterium
Lineage: Bacteria
Description: partial 16S ribosomal RNA
Rfam family: Bacterial small subunit ribosomal RNA
Source: RNAcentral
GAUGAACGCUGGCGGCGUGCUUAACACAUGCAAGUCGAACGGGAAUUAUUUUAUUGCACCUUCGGUCGAUUUAAUUUAAUUCUAGUGGCGGACGGGUGAGUAACGCGUGGGUAACCUGCCUUAUACAGGGGGAUAACAGUCAGAAAUGGCUGCUAAUACCGCAUAAGCGCACAGAGCUGCAUGGCUCAGUGUGAAAAACUCCGGUGGUAUAAGAUGGACCCGCGUUGGAUUAGCUUGUUGGCAGGGUAACGGCCUACCAAGGCGACGAUCCAUAGCCGGCCUGAGAGGGUGAACGGCCACAUUGGGACUGAGACACGGCCCAGACUCCUACGGGAGGCAGCAGUGGGGAAUAUUGCACAAUGGGGGAAACCCUGAUGCAGCGACGCCGCGUGAAGGAAGAAGUAUCUCGGUAUGUAAACUUCUAUCAGCAGGGAAGAUAGUGACGGUACCUGACUAAGAAGCCCCGGCUAACUACGUG